GCAGGGCAGAGGUUAGUCUAUAAGGUGCCCCUGAGCAAAGGAGAAAGGGGCACUCACAGCAUGGCUUGAGCUCACUCUGUGUCCCAUUGUGCAGUGUCCAACAUGCCCAACCAUCCCAGCCUACCCUGAUUACGGGAUUGGAGAAGAAGAGAGAAGAAAAAAGAAGAGGAAAGGAAUUCCACUGGGAUCCAGGGCAUCAUUUAACCUUAGCACUCUGGCCAGAUGAAGAACCUUUCUCAAAUGGAUCAGGGACCCUGUGGGGAGCUGCAGCCCAGGAAGCCAGGAUGGACACCCAGACCAGCAGCCUAAUAUCUUGUGGACCGAGGCGGGACCAGGCCCUGUGGAGGAGGAGAAUCAGAAGUGGAAAGAGGCUCUGAGAGCGCACAAGCAGGGAGAGCAAGGAGCUCGAUUCGGGACCUGAACCCGGGACCCUGGGAUCGCGACAUGAGUCAAACGGAGGCAUUUAACCCACUAAGCCACUCAGGCCGCCCAAGUCUUGGAUUUCUAUCAGCGGUAGAUGAUCCCCAGUGAAUGCUAGGAGCGGGACAGCAAUCAUAGCAACAAAUCCUAGAAAGGACUUCUUAUGUGCCAGUGGGGAAACUGAGGCACAGAGCGAUGAAGUGGUUUGCCCAGGUUGGCAAGAGAACCCAGGACGGCUUUCCGUGGAUCCAGGAAAAGUGACCUCACCCAGGUCUCUGAUGCUGAUUGAACAGGACCGAGAUGGACCAGUGGCUAGAAGCCUGGAAGAUGUGCUUCAGGAGUGUGCCAGGGACAUCCAACCACUGAGGCACAGGUCAGGGCACACCCGUGCCUGACCCUGAACUCAGACAAGACACAGAGCUCCAUCAUGCAUUCCAGGGAGGGAGAUGCGAGCUGGAGCCUGCCCAGACCCUCCAAAGGGCACCCCCCACCCCCACAGAAACCUACCUUAUGCCCGUGCCAUGCAUGCCACCCCGAGUGUGGGCGAGUGCUCAUGUCAGCUUCAGCAUGCAGCCCGGACCUCCAGAAGGUAGGAGGUCCUACCGCCUGCCACCACCCCUCACCGUUCUUCACCUAUUUGCUGGUUGAUAACCUUUCCUCUUGGCCGGAAGGAGCACUCUCUCAGAGGAGUUCUUGACAGAGGAGGUGACAAGUAACACCGGAGGGAUUUCCUGCACCCCCUGUGGAACGUAACAGACGGAGGGGCGGGAUCAGGAAGCACUCACAACUUACUGCUGACCAGAACACCAGCCCUGAAGCAGCUAUGACUCUCUUAACACGCACAGGGAGCCGGAAGAUAGGAGGUGGAGGACACCCUCUUUGCACCCUCAGCAGGGAACCACCAGCCCAUUUUACAGCUGAGCCGAGAGCUUGGAGUGGCUCAAGGGUCCAGGAUUUCUGGGAACCUGGAGAACGCCCUCUUUAUAAGAGUACUCUAGCCUAUCUAUGAAAUGGGUAUGAUAAUGGCCAUCCCACAAAGCUGCUUGUGAGGGUUACAUACAUUAUUACACAUGAAAGUGACUGACAUGGGACCUGGCACAUAAACACAGCCACAGAUGUAUUGAGGAACAACCGUACCCCAGAAGUUGUUUUCAGUGCUUUUCAUAUGUGAGUCCACAUGAGUCUCGACAAUAAGCUAUGAAACAGGGCCUAUUAUUUUUUGUUAAGAUUUUAUUUAUUUAUUUGACAGAGCGAGACAACGAGAGAGGGAACACAAGCAGGGGGCGAGGGAGAGGGAGAAGCAGGCUUCCUGCGGAGCAGGGAGCCCGAUGUGGGGCUCGAUCCCAGGACCCUGGGACCAUGACCUGAGCCGAAGGCAGACGCUUAACGACUGAGCCACCCAGGUGCCCAAGCAGGAGCUAUUAUUGUCUUGAUUUUGUAAAAGAGAAACCAGAAAGGUUAAGGAAUGAGUCAAGGCCACACAGUAAGGCUGCCAGACCCUCUACCUGCCUUCUGACUCCAAAUGCAGUGCUCCCUCUACCCAUCACCUCACACUUCCUGUGGGAAAAAAUGAGUGAGCAGACAGGAAAAGAAGCUAGAGAAAGACUGUUUUCUUGGGCUUUUAAAGGACUGGGAGGGCUGGUAUAACCCAGGGAGCAGAUACCCCUCCCCUUUCCAUCCUUAACCACUGUCUGGGUUCCACCCAGACCCUCCUCUCCAAACCAGGGGUUUGGGACAAAGCUGGUAGAGGCAAGCAUCUCUUUCAAGAUCAGAGGCAGGGGGUUCCCCUCCCCGGACUCCCAUUUCACUUUAAAGGGGGGAAAAGCUCCCCAUGCAAUGAGGCAGAGCCGUGGGUUCCUGGGGGCCUUGCAGCCCUGUUGCCAUAGCAACCAGACUCACUAGCAGUUUCUGGUACAGGAGGUGGCUGGGCCCACAGCUUGGGCUGGAGGGGAUGAAGGGGUAGGAAGGAGACCUCAAGGGCAUCCCCUUGCCCUCAGACUGGACCACCCACGCCCCAGUGCCAGAGGAGGCUAGGAGCCCUCAUCACCCCAGAGACACAGGGACGGGCACUCCUACCCUUGAACUUCCAUCCUGAAUCUGGGGCAGCUGUUUAAAUUUUCCAACUUUUGUCCACCCUGGAAGUAGUACUAUUGUGAAGCCUCAGAGGAGGAACACAUCAGGGUUCACACAGCUUAUGGUCCAUACACAGCUCUAGGGACAUUUUCAUUUGUGUUUCCUUUUUUUCCCCCCUUUGACUGAGGUAUUACUUGGAUAAGGUGAAGGGCACAGAUCUUAAGUUUCAGCUCAAUGAGCUUUAUGCAUGCAUAUACCUGUGUCUCCACCACCCACACCGAGAGAGAAUAUGUCCAUCCCUCUGCACUCAUGCCCAUCCUUGAAGUCCAUAUCCCCCAAUCUGACUUUGUCAUCAUAGAUGAGUUUUGCCUGUCCUUGAAUUUCAUAUAAAUGUAACCAUACUGCACGGCCUCUUUUGCCUGGUGUCUUUGACAUAACACUGAACCUGUGGGAAUCAUCCUUAUCAUCACAAGUAUUAUUACUGUCCUUUUUCUUUGUUGUGUAAUAUUCCAUUGUAAGAAUGUGUUACAAUUUGCUUAUUUAUUCUACUGUUGAUGGGUAUUUAAGUUGUUUACAGAUUGGUUCUGGUGAUAAAGUUGCCAUGAACAUUCUUGUAUGUGAACACAGUGUACAUUUCUAUUGGGUAAAUACCCAGGAGUGCCCCUGCUGGGUCACUGGGCAGGUGUGUGUGCAUUUUUAGGAGACACCAUCAAACAGUUUUCCUAAACAGAGUGGCUGUAGCAUUUUACAUUCCCACCAGUGGCAUAUGAAAGUGCCAGGGUGCCUGGCUGGCUCAGUCGGAAGAGCAUACAACUCUUGAUCUCAGGGUCCUGAGUUCGAGCCCCACAUUGGGUGUAGAGAUUACUAAACAAAAAUAAAAAUAAGUUUAAAAAAAAAAGUUCCGGGACACCUGGCUGGCUUAGGCAGUAGAGCAUGACUCUUAACCUCAGGUUCAUGCGUUCAAGGCCCACGUGGUCAUGGAGCCUACUUAAAAAAAAAAAAGGCUCCAGUUGUCCACAUCCUUGUCGACACUUGGUGCCAUCAGCUUUUUUCAUUUUAGCCAUCCCAGUUGGUUGUGUUGUGGUAUUUCAUUGUGGUUUUAUAUGCAUUUCUCUGAUGACUGAUGGCAUUGAUUUGUAGGAGCCCUUUAUAUAUUAUGAAUAUGCAUCAUUUGUCAGAUAUACUAUUACAAAUAACUUCCUUCUGGGAGAAUAUUUCCUACUCCAAAUGAUCUCCCCGAGUUUUGGACUGGGAGAGGCACAAGAGCAAAUAACCACAGAUUAUUCUUUCCUGGUUCCUUCUUCAUGAAGAAGGUAGGUGCCCUGGUUUAUUGAAUGCCAAGGACUUUCCAUCAGUUAUAUCCUUAAAUAGUUACAACAUUCUUAUUUAAUUCACUUAUUCAACCUUUAUUUGAAAAUCUAAUAGAUGCCAGAUAUUGUGGGACACACUGAGAACAAGAGUCAAGGUCUAAAAAGAAACUGUGUUCUAGUGGGGGGUGGUGAGGCAGACUGUAAACACGCCGACAAGUAAUUAAGGCCAUAUCAGAGUGGGGAAAGUGUCAGAGAGGUGGUGGAUAAAGCGUGACUGAGGGGGGUUGGGAAAGUCCCAGCGACGAAGUACCAUGGAGCUGGACAUGAAGAAGAAGGUAGAGCUAGCCAUGUGAGAUCUAGGAGGACAGGUGUUCUAGGAAGGGGAACCCUAGUGCAAAUGCUCCGUGAAGCUGACCUGCAGGAAGGUAUGGGGAGAGGGAUCCCGAAGAGGUUGAGUGAAGGAUUUGAAUCGAAUCUAAGAGCCAUGGGGAUGGAUUGCAGUGUUCUGAACAGAAUGACACGAUGAACUUCUUGUCUUUUCAAAGACCCCUCUGGGCCCCUGCAGACUGAUAGGUGUGAAGGCAGAAGCAGGAGUCCGGGCAGGAGCGACAAUAAUCCAGGUGAGCUGUGAUGGGGGCAGGACUAGGGUGGGGACCGUAGAAGUGGGAAGAAGUGGGUGAUGUCUGGGGGACACUUUCUUUUCUCUGUUUCCUUCUUUUUUCUUUUCUUUGAAUGAAGUAUUACUCGGAUAAGGUGAACCGCACAGAUGUUAAGUUCCAGCUCAUUGAGCUUUAUGCAUGUAUAUACCUGUGUAUCCACCACCCAAACCAAGAGAGAGUAUGUCCGUCCCUCCAGAAAAUGCCCUCAUGCCCAUUUCUGGAAGUUCAUAUCCCCCAGUAUGACUUUGUCAUUAUAGAUGCGUUUUGCCUGUCCUUGAAUUUCAUAUAAAUGCAACCAUACUGCACGGGCCUCUUCUGUCUGGUGUCAUUCACAUAACACUGAACCUGGGGGAGAACCAUGCUUCAGGUUCUAGCUGAAGAUGGUUAUUAUCAUCCUCAACUUACAGGGAACUGAAUCUCAGAGAGGUCGUCACGUGCCCGAGGUCACACAUCUAAGAUGGGGAAAGGGCAAGAAAAUUCAAGUCUGAUUUUUCAAUUAUAUGAAAGAUGCCAGGUUGUGGGUGGCAUGGCCUUAGAAAAC
This is a long non-coding RNA of Zalophus californianus (California sea lion), 5003 nucleotides long. RefSeq lists it as uncharacterized. NCBI's taxonomy places the organism in Eukaryota, Metazoa, Chordata, Mammalia, Carnivora, Otariidae. The record is from RefSeq and is a predicted model, not a curated record. The transcript has 5 exons.